CUGAGCCAUGAUGAGGUUACUACCGCCCCAGUCUGAUUUCUGUGACUGAGUGGUAUCUUCUGAGCUUGC
Molecule: small nucleolar RNA, 69 nt
Organism: Pseudophryne corroboree (corroboree frog)
Lineage: Eukaryota; Metazoa; Chordata; Amphibia; Anura; Myobatrachidae
Source: RefSeq, a predicted model, not a curated record